GCCUCCUUAGCGCAUUGGUAGAGCACUCGCCUUGUAAGCGAAAGGUCGUCGGUUCAAUCCCGACAGGAGGCUCCG
This 75-nucleotide transfer RNA is filed under the name Limosilactobacillus reuteri. RNAcentral describes it as "Lactobacillus reuteri tRNA-Thr". It matches the Rfam family "tRNA". From Rfam's summary of the family: Transfer RNA (tRNA) molecules are approximately 80 nucleotides in length. Their secondary structure includes four short double-helical elements and three loops (D, anti-codon, and T loops). The record is from RNAcentral. Lineage: Bacteria; Bacillati; Bacillota; Bacilli; Lactobacillales; Lactobacillaceae.